RNAcentral lists this small RNA (54 nucleotides) under Myotis lucifugus (little brown bat). Its description in RNAcentral is "GRIK4 3 prime UTR element (ENSMLUG00000029568.1)". Lineage: Eukaryota; Metazoa; Chordata; Mammalia; Chiroptera; Vespertilionidae. The record is from RNAcentral.
UAGAGGCGGCGGAGACAGGAAUGGAGCCAAGGCGGCAGAGGCAGGAGGGAAACA